AUGCCUCUAAAAUAUUGGGAUGAAGCUUUCAUUGCUGCCACCUAUCUUAUCAAUCGUUUGCCUAGUAAGGUUAUUGGGAACACAACUCCCUUAGAACGAUUGUUUCAUCAAAAACCAGAUUAUAAUUCCCUCAAAGUUUUUGGAUGUGCAUGCUGUCCUAAUCUUCGUCCAUAUAAUCGCCACAAACUAGAGUUUCGCUCUACUCAAUGUGUCUUCCUUGGCUAUAUCAAUCUUCAUAAGGGUUACAAGUGUCUAGAAGUUUCAACUGGACGCAUCUACAUCUCUCGGGAUGUGAUUUUUGAUGAAACUAUUUUCCCUUUUGCCAAACUUCAUCCAAAUGCAGGAGCCCUUCUCCGAGCUGAAAUUUCUCUUCUCUCGGAUCCUUUGCCAUGUACUGAUCACGGGGGGGAAUUAAUAGAUCAUGAUCAUGUGCCUAGUCCAGGAGAUAAUUCAGAAACUAAUGAAAAAAAAUGCAGUUUUUGGCUAUGA
RNAcentral lists this ribosomal RNA (489 nucleotides) under Triticum aestivum (bread wheat). Its description in RNAcentral is "partial small subunit ribosomal RNA". Lineage: Eukaryota; Viridiplantae; Streptophyta; Magnoliopsida; Poales; Poaceae. The record is from RNAcentral.